Molecule: ribosomal RNA, 506 nt
Filed under: uncultured bacterium
Lineage: Bacteria
Description: bacterial SSU rRNA
Rfam family: Bacterial small subunit ribosomal RNA
Source: RNAcentral
CUGGCUCAGGAUGAACGCUAGCGACAGGCUUAACACAUGCAAGUCGAGGGCAGCAUAGAAGUAGCAAUACUUGGUGGCGACCGGCGCACGGGUGAGUAACGCGUAUGCAACCUACCUAUCAGAGGGGAAUAACCCGGCGAAAGUCGGACUAAUACCGCAUAAAACAGGGGCACCGCAUGGUGAUAUUUGUUAAAGAAAUUCGCUGAUAGAUGGGCAUGCGUUCCAUUAGGUAGUUGGUGAGGUAACGGCUCACCAAGCCGACGAUGGAUAGGGGAACUGAGAGGUUGGUCCCCCACACUGGUACUGAGACACGGACCAGACUCCUACGGGAGGCAGCAGUGAGGAAUAUUGGUCAAUGGGCGGGAGCCUGAACCAGCCAAGUCGCGUGAAAGGAAGAAGGAUCUAUGGUUCGUAAACUUCUUUUGCAGGGGAAUAAAGUGCAGGACGUGUCCUGUUUUGUAUGUACCCUGAGAAUAAGGAUCGGCUAACUCCGUGCCAGCAGCCGC